UUUAAGGUCUAAUUUGCCCAAUGAGGUUUUAAAUGGCCGCGGUUUUUUGACCGUGCAAAGGUAGCAUAAUAAUUAGUUUUUUAAUUGAAAGCUGGGAUGAACGAUUGAACGAGAGAGUUUCUGUCUCAUUUUAAUUUAAUUAGAAUUUUAUUUUUAAGUAAGAAAGCUUAAAUUUUUUUAWAAGACGAGAAGACCCUAUAGAGUUUUAUAUUUGAAUUUAUAUUAAUUUAAUAGUAUUUUUAUWUUGUUAUAAUUUUAAGUAUUUUAUUGGGGCGAUAGAAAAAUUGAUUGAACUUUUUUUUUUAUUUAACAUUAAUUUAUGUUUAAUUGAGCCAAUAUUUUUGAUUAUAAGAUUAAAUUACCUUAGGGAUAACAGCGUAAUUUUUUUUAGAGUUCUUAUCGAAUAAAGGGAUUGCGACCUCGAUGUUGRAUUAAAAUUAAUGUUUGGKGUAGGGGCUAAAUAAUUAGGUCUGUUCGACYUUUCAAAUUUUACA
RNAcentral lists this ribosomal RNA (494 nucleotides) under Ablaberoides sp. DA4113. Its description in RNAcentral is "partial 16S large subunit ribosomal RNA". The record is from RNAcentral. Lineage: Eukaryota; Metazoa; Arthropoda; Insecta; Coleoptera; Scarabaeidae.